UACGAAGGGGGCAAGCGUUGUCCGGAAUCAUUGGGCGUAAAGAGCGCGUAGGCGGCCCUGUAAGUCCGCUGUGAAAGUCAAGGGCUCAACCCUUGGAUGCCGGUGGAUACUGCAGGGCUAGAGUCCGGAAGAGGCGAGUGGAAUUCCUGGUGUAGCGGUGAAAUGCGCAGAUAUCAGGAGGAACACCGAUGGCGAAGGCAGCUCGCUGGGACGGUACUGACGCUGAGGAGCGAAAGCGUGGGGAGCGAACAGG
RNAcentral lists this ribosomal RNA (253 nucleotides) under uncultured bacterium. Its description in RNAcentral is "partial 16S ribosomal RNA". It matches the Rfam family "Bacterial small subunit ribosomal RNA", at positions 524 to 776 of the family's 1533-position model. The record is from RNAcentral.